Molecule: ribosomal RNA, 492 nt
Filed under: uncultured bacterium
Lineage: Bacteria
Description: partial 16S ribosomal RNA
Rfam family: Bacterial small subunit ribosomal RNA
Source: RNAcentral
AAUGAACGCUGGCGGCAUGCCUAACACAUGCAAGUCGAACGGCAACACAGUAAGCUCUUUCCCUUACCGUUGGCGACUGGCGGACGGGUGACGAAUACAUCGCAAUCCUCUUUUUCUUGGGUGACUACGUAGGGCCACUUACGCUACCACCUCAUAUGUUGUACCGCUUAAUUCAGUCGAUCUUCGCACCUUUCCUGACUCUUAUAGCUGAUGCCGGAUCAGCUAGUUGGCUGGGUAAAGUCCCACCAAGGCGACGAUACGUAGCUGACCUGAGAGGAUGAUCGGCCACACUGGAACUGAGACACGGUCCAGACUCCUACGGGAGGCAGCAGUAGGGAAUAUUGGGCAAUGGGCGAAAGCCUGACGCAGCAACACCGCGUGAGUGAAGAAGGUCUUCGGGUUGUAAAACCCUUUUAUUAGGAAAGAAAAGCUGCGGAAGUAAACACCGCUGUUCUGACGGUACCCAAAGAAUAAGCACCGGCUAACUACGUG